Molecule: long non-coding RNA, 911 nt
Organism: Canis lupus familiaris (dog)
Lineage: Eukaryota; Metazoa; Chordata; Mammalia; Carnivora; Canidae
Exons: 2
Source: RefSeq, a predicted model, not a curated record
AGCCUCUCAGGCUGUUCCUCACUCCCAAGACGCAGAUCUGGUUCCUUUCACCUUCCUGAUAGGCCCUGGCAGAGCUGCCCAGGACAGCCAAGGUCUCCAGGGCUCCCAGGGACAGAGAAGCAGCCCACGGGGGCCAUGGCUGCCUUCGUACCUUACGUAGUCUCGCCUGAUCCACCCUGCCCGUCGGCCCUCCGAGGACUCAGUCCUCCUGAGGAAUGUGGACUGCCUGAGCCCCUGGAGUCUGGCCAGCACAGUGCCUACCCCCGUGAGCCGGUUGCCCCGGGCACCCCCUCCGCCAGUCAAGGAGACCUCAGCAAGGACUCCCAUUAACCAGAUCCCAAGGGAGCCCAAGCCACCAAAGUCAUGAAUACACAUGAGCCCAAUGCAGCCUCGUGGACAAUAAGACAAUGAAGGUGACAUCUCGGAUUCCCGCAGUCGGUGGCCACAUUGUUUUAAUUUGCAAAUUAAUGAACAAUUUCAGAUGUCAGAGCUUUGGCCUACGGAGAAAUGUAACCUUCAGCUGAGAUUUUCUUAUCUCUUCUGAUAUGGAUGUCUACAUCUUCCCUGGGUUUCAGCAGUUUCCUCUUCUCUGCUCCUAAAAGAACCUGCAUUUCCCUUUCCUGACUCCCUUCCUGGCUUCCUGUGUGCUAAGCCUUUGCAGUUGUCAUCAUGUCUUCAGAAGGCAUUUGAUAGGUACAGGAAGUUGCACCAGACGGGAGAUGGAACCAGCAAUCAAUAAAAAAAGAACUAUGUUUCUAAGAAAAAAUGCAUCACGGCUUCCCACCGGAGUUGUGUACCAUAUGUCCUAAUAUCCGUGGAACAAUGGAUCUAAAUUUUAGCUCUUCUGCUUGGCUGUCCUGGCCAUCUAAACAAAACAAAACAAAUCAAAAAAAAAAAAAAAAAGAAAGAAA